UCUAGAGAAAAUGUGUCAAGUCCUGCAGCAUAAAAGCACUGAACCGACUUUGUCUCGUGUGUUUGAACUAUUUUUUUCAGAAACUUAACGAAUUAUUGUUAAAGAUAAUUGACUAAUGAUAGUUUAUUGUAAUUUAGAUGGUGAAUCUGUACCUACAGUUGGAUGACAGUGAUGGGCAGCAUGUCUCUAAUCAAACUUUCCCCGUUAACACAAGACAGAGUUUGUAUGACUCAAUUCUGCUAUGUACAAAUUGCCAUUGAUGAGGAAAUGGUGAAACUCAACAAUCGGAUGACAGUGAUGGGCAGCCUAUCUAAUCAAGCUUUCCCCAUUGCUGUUAACACAGGACAGAGUUUGUACGACUCAAUUCUGCUACAUACAAAUUGCCAUUGAUAAGAGAGUAAGCCAUCUACAGAAAGGUUCCAACUCUAUUGAAGAACAAACCUUCACCACACCCUGAUUUGUUUUGUUGUGGAUAGAAUGUCCAAAUUCAAGUUAGGACAAAAAAGACUAGUAAACAAACGGUAUUAUAGAGAGGAGAGACUGGUGACGUCACGGAAAUCUGCCAAAAGUUCGUGGAGAACUGGUUGGCUUAUCUACCGUUGAUCCUUAAAUAUGCAGUGAAGGCGAAGAAGACAAUUGAUGCUGUGAGUCGAAGACCAGCUUAUUGCAAAGUGUUA
Daphnia pulicaria is the source of this 677-nucleotide long non-coding RNA. RefSeq lists it as uncharacterized. The record is from RefSeq and is a predicted model, not a curated record. Lineage: Eukaryota; Metazoa; Arthropoda; Branchiopoda; Diplostraca; Daphniidae. The transcript is spliced from 3 exons.